This 245-nucleotide ribosomal RNA is filed under the name uncultured bacterium. RNAcentral describes it as "partial 16S ribosomal RNA". It matches the Rfam family "Bacterial small subunit ribosomal RNA", at positions 524 to 776 of the family's 1533-position model. The record is from RNAcentral.
UACGUAGGGGGCUAGCGUUGUCCGGAUUUAUUGGCGUAAAGAGCGUGUAGCGGCCAGAUAGGUCUGCUGUGAAAACUCGAGGCUCAACCUCGAGAUGUCGCGAACCAUUUGGCUAGAGUCGGAAGAGGAAAGUGGAAUUCCUGGUGUAGCGGUGAAAUGCGCAGAUAUCAGGAAGAACACCCGUGGCGAAGGCGCUUCUGGACGGUACUGACGCUGAGGAGCGAAAGGCGUGGGGAGCGAACAGG